This 292-nucleotide ribosomal RNA is filed under the name uncultured bacterium. Its description in RNAcentral is "partial 16S ribosomal RNA". The record is from RNAcentral.
GGACUACUGGGGUAUCUAAUCCUGUUUGCUCCCCACGCUUUCGCGCCUCAGCGUCAAUCACGGGCCAGAUGGCCGCCUUCGCCACCGGUGUUCUUCCCAAUAUCUACGAAUUUCACCUCUACACUGGGAAUUCCGCCAUCCUCUCCCGUCUUCAAGCGCCGCAGUAUCAUGCGCAGUUCCCAGGUUGAGCCCGGGCCUUUCACGCCUGACUUGCAGCACAGCCUACGCGCCCUUUACGCCCAGUAAUUCCGAACAACGCUAGCCCCCUUCGUAUUACCGCGGCUGCUGGCAC